GCUUCGUAUUAAUUCAUAUCUUUGUGAGAGAAGAAUCAUAAAACUAUUUUAAAAAUGAGUAUUUAGCAAAAAAAAAAAUCACAACAUCUCCUUCGUCCGGCCCCUUUGCUUUGAAUUUCGAAAGCUGUAUCGGUACGGCUCAACAACUGUGCUACUGUGUGUACUGUGUGGUACUUGCCGUCCCUUGUCCAAAUAGUGCUAGCAAGUUGUUGGGAGUAGCGUACAAGCGCGAAGGACGCACACGAUCAACUGCUGC
This 256-nucleotide long non-coding RNA is filed under the name Sorghum bicolor (sorghum). RNAcentral's name for it is "long non-coding RNA (SBIC_LNC016703)". Lineage: Eukaryota; Viridiplantae; Streptophyta; Magnoliopsida; Poales; Poaceae. The record is from RNAcentral.